GAAGGUGGGCUUAGAAGCAGCCAUCCUUGAAAGAGUUCGUAACAGAUCACUGGUCUAGCUUGCGGGCCGGGAAAAGGGACGGGGCUCAAACUGAUUACCGAUACUUCAGACCAUCGAAAGAUGAUGUGGUAACGCGGCGUCGUGCUUGGGUGGAAGGUAGGCUUUGAGGUCUACUGGACCGUGUACGAAUGAGAGUCUUGGGAAGAGUAGCAGCACAGUGUGGUGAGAAUCCGCACCGCCUUAUAAACCAGGGUUCCUCGGCACUGUUUAUCAGCCGAGGGUUAGCCGGUCCUAAGGUCAUUCUUAACCGAAAUGAUCGAAAGGGAAUAGCGUUAAUAUUCGUUAGCCCCUUGUACAACAAUGGCGACGGCUUGGGCAAAGCAUUCAGAUCAUAUGCCAGGUCUGUCUGUACUAAAUUUCUGGAGAACUGUCACAGUGAGAAGGAAAUAAAGUCCCAGGUCCCAUGAAAAGCCGUACAAGGUGACCGUACCGAGAACUGAAACAGGUGUUUUAGGGUGAGUAGCCUAAGGCGUAUCGGAUACAAAUAUCGCGAGGGAACUCGGCAAAAUAGCUCCGUAACUUCGGGAGAAGGAGUGCCAGAUUGGGAACAAUCUGGUCGCAGUGACUAGGGAGCUCCGACUGUUUAAUAAAAACAUAGGGGACUGCCAGAUCGAAAGGUUGUGUAUAGUCCCUGAAUCCUGCUCAGUGCUGGUAUCUUAAAUCGGGUUUCAACCUGACGAAGGACCAGUAAACAGCGGGGGUAACUAUGACCCUCUUAAGGUAGCGUAAUACCUUGUCGCUUAAUUGGCGACUUGCAUGAAUGGUCCAACGAGGGCUCCACUGUCCCCGCGAUAUGUCCGGCGAAAUUGACUUUACUGGCGCACAGUCCAGUACAUUCUACCCGCAAGCGAAGACCCCAUAGAGCUUUACUGCAGCCUGUCGUUGCAUAGUCGCUUUCCAUGUACUGUGUAGGUGGGAGACGUUGAUCCCGAGGACGCUAGUCCUCGGAGUAGUCGAAAAGAGAGACACCACCCUUGGAAGGUAACUAUGCUAACUCUUUAUGAGGACACCGAUUGGUGGGCAGUUUGGGUGGGGCGCCACGCGCUCGAAAACCUAACAAGCGUGCCCAAAGGUCAGCUUAGGUGGUUCAGCACUCCACCGAUAACUGUAAGGGGAAAAGCUGGCUUGACGUGGAUCCGCACAAUAAGGAUCGACGAUGCGAAAGCAGGGCCUAACGAACCUACCAGCCUUAUUUCUGAGGGCGGUAGAUAACAGAAAAGUUACCUUGGGGAUAAUUGAGUUGUCACCAGCAAGAGCUCACAUCGACCUGGUGGCUUGCUACUUCGAUGUCGUCUCUUCCUAUCCUGGGUCUGCAGCAGGACCCAAGGGUGGGGUUGUUCGCCCAUUAAAAGGGAUCGUGAGAUGGGUUUAGACCGUCGUGAGACAGGUUUGUUGCUUGGUGGUAGAAUCGCAUAAGGUGUCUGAUGGAAGGGGCCCUUUAGUACGAGAGGAACGAGGGCUCGGGGCCACUAGUUUACCAGUUGUCUGACAAGGCAAUGCUGGGUAGCCACGCCCUGAAGGAUAAGAGCUGAAAGCAUCUAAGCUCGAAGCCACCCCAUAGACGAGACACCUCAGAACGCUCGUAAAAGACGAGAUGAUAGACUGCGGAUGUAAGCACGAAGCUUCGGCGACGUGUUCAGUCCAGCAGCACUAAUGUUCGAGCAUCUUUUUC
RNAcentral lists this ribosomal RNA (1732 nucleotides) under marine metagenome. RNAcentral describes it as "bacterial LSU rRNA". It matches the Rfam family "Archaeal large subunit ribosomal RNA", at positions 1182 to 2987 of the family's 2987-position model. The record is from RNAcentral.